GUUCUCUAAGUCUACUGCAUAGCUGAGAGCCUAAGAUCUCUGGGGACUCACUCCACUUUUCUCUUGAGUUGGUUCCACUAUUUCCUGGAACCUCAUACAGCCAUCUCAGCUAGUCAUGACUGACCUAGAUUUAACACAGUAUAUCCUUAAUCAGCUUCCUGAUUGAGAGUGUAUUUUGAGACAUUCCAUGUCUAGAAAGUGUCUUUAUCUCACAUGUAAUUGUGAUAGUCUGGCUGAGUAUAAAAUCUUACUUAGGAUGUUAACUUAAAAUCAAUGUGGUCAAGGAAAGGAGGAAAAAUAUGUCCUCCUAGUAAUUCCCAGUGUAAGUGGAAAUGACCCAGCCCUAGAUUUACUUGGCUUUAGUUUCCAUCACCAUAGAUUUCUCAAUCAAAAGGCAAAUAUAUCUCAUAUGUCGGAAGAUUAAUGUAUGAAUAAUCAGUACCACUGGCAUAUGGCUACUCUCCUAUUUUCCUUACCCCUUUGUCUUCACAAGGAAGCCCAGACUCUGUUUGCCAGUGGCUGGGUCCUGGGGCCGAUAACUUCAAGCUAAACAUUCAAUAUCAGUAUGGUAGGUGAGGAAGAUUUUCUCAGAGUGGCUCAUUAUCUGGAAAGUGUAAGAAUGAGGUGGCAGAAAGAGGUAGAAACAGCAUGAAAAGGCAGAGCCAAGGAGAGAUCGACAAACAAGAAGGAUUGUGCCCAUAUUUCUCUAUUCUCUCUAGCAUUAUGAAUCAUUUCCCCUCAGGAUUUUGGAGAUGUUGCAUCAGUGUUGCUACCGAACAUUCCAAAGCCAUUCUAAUUCUGUUACUUUGUAUGUUCUUUUUUUUCCCUAUACAUAAUUUACUAUUGCAUGUUUUUCUCAGGGUUUCUGAAAUUUCAGAAUAUCCUGAUGUGGAUCUAUUUUGAUUCAUUGUACUGAAGACCAUUUCAGCCCAUCUUACACUUUGAUUCUGGAAAGUCUUCUUUUCCCUGGAGCUUAUAAUUACUUUUAUUUCAUUUGCUUAGCUUUCUAUGUACAUAAGUAGAUAAAAAUUAAUUCAUUCUCAAAAUCUUCCACAGAAAUGCUUUCAAACUCAAUGCAUUAAAAACAUGCUAUAGUUUAUAAACCUUCUUGGAUCUAUCAAGGAAGAUUUAUUUGAUUAUUUUAUCUCCUCCAUUCCAUCUGUUUUCUUAUAAUUCCUAAUAUUUGGAGGUUGGACCUCAUGAACUGAUCCUAUAAUUUUACUAAUUUUCCUCCAGUUUUUCAUCUAUUUGACUUUUUGCUCUAUUUUCAGGGAAAUAUCCUCAACUUUAUCUGCUAACUCUUCUGUUAAGUACUUUAUUUCUGCUCUCAUGCUUUUAAUUUCCAAAAGCUCUUUUUGUGAGCUGGCUGUUCAUUUUUUUAUAGAAUCCUGUCCUUAUUUGACAGGUCCUAUAUAUUUUUUUAUUUUGAGAUUAUUAGUGAUAGUUCUUCUAAGUUUUCUUCUCUCUGCACACUGUAUUUCCUCUAAGUUGCUUUUUUAAAUUUUUGACCUGUGUUUGCUUUGCUUUCGUUUAUGUUACAGGCUUUCCUAAAAUUCCUGGUGAUCCUUGGCUAUCUGCUCGAAUUUAAAAACAAGCACUAAAGAAGGGCACUAAAAAACAGAUUGUCAUAGCAGUAUUAUCCAUAAUAGCCAAAUGAUAGAAGCAAUGCAAAUGUCCAUCAACAGAGGGACAAAUGAAUAAGCAAAUGUGGUAUAUUGAUACAAUGGAAUACUAUUCUGUAAUGAAGAUGGGAAAGAACGGAGUACUGAUACACGCUACAACAUGGGUAAACUGAAAACAUUAUUACGUGAAAUAAGCCAGUCAUAAACCACAUAUUGUGUAUAUUUUAUCCAUAAGAAAUGUUCAGAAUAGGCAAAUCUAUAAAAAUACAAAGUAGAUUUGUAGUUGCUGAGGGCUGGGAAAAGGGUUUGGGGAGAGAAAUGACUGCUAAUGGGAGUAUGGGAUGUUCUUUUGGGGCUGAUAAAAUGUUCCAAAAUUCAUUGUGUGAUAACUACACAUCUGUAAAUAUACUAAAAACCACUGAAUUGUAUCCAAUAAAGUACUAAAUUGUAUGAUAUAUGAAUUAUACCUCAAUAAUGCUCAUUACCCUCCCCCUACCCCAUUAGGUACCGGGCUGCACAGCAGGGGGUAAGUGACCAUUACCGCCUGAGUUCUGCCUCCUGUCAGAUCAGCCAAGGCUGAUUCUCAUGGGAGGGUGAACCCUACUGUGAACUGCACAAUUGAGGGAUCUAGGUUGUGCGCUCCUUAUGACAAUCUAAUCCCCCUAAAUCCCACUAUCAUCUGUGGAAAAAUUGUCUUCCACAAAACCGGUCUCUGGUGCCAAAAAGGUUGGGAACUACUGCUCUAGAAAGUAAAUCUCCAAGUCUCCUGGUAGAGCAAUAAGGAGUAUAUUUGCCUGGCCACAUGGAGUUGGAAAAUAUAUUGAGACUUAACUGCUUCUUAUAGCUACAAAUAUCCCUGUUUCAGCCUCACCUC
This 2496-nucleotide long non-coding RNA is filed under the name Homo sapiens (human). RNAcentral describes it as "HSALNT0190494". Lineage: Eukaryota; Metazoa; Chordata; Mammalia; Primates; Hominidae. The record is from RNAcentral.